Molecule: non-coding RNA, 1460 nt
Organism: Macaca mulatta (Rhesus monkey)
Lineage: Eukaryota; Metazoa; Chordata; Mammalia; Primates; Cercopithecidae
Source: RefSeq, a predicted model, not a curated record
CCUCGUGAUCUGUCUGCCUCGGCCCCACAAAAGUGCUAGGAUUACAGGUGCGAGCCACCAUGCCAGGCCAAACAUAUGUUUUUAACUUACCAAGGAGCAUGAUUACUGGAUCAUGUAACAGGAUUGUGUUUAGUUUUGUAACAUAUUGCCUGGUAUGGUUUGGAUCAGUGUCCCUACCAGUCGUCAUGUUGAAAUAUAAUCCCCAAUGUUGGAGGUGGGGCCUGAUGGGAGGUGGCUAACUGGGACAUAUUUUCUCCUUGGUACUGUUGUCAUGAUAGUGAGUAAAUUCUGCGAUCUGGUUGUUUAUAAGUUUUGGCACCUCCCCGGUCUCUCUCUUCCUCCUUCUCCAACAGUGUGAAGUGCUGAUUCCCUCUUCACCUUCUGACAUGAUUGUAGGUGUCCUGAGGCCUCCCAGAAGCCAAGCAGAUGACAGCAUCUUGCUUCCUAUACAACCCGAAGAACUGGGCAGUAAUUUCCAGGACUCUCCGCAGCCAGAUCACACUUGUGGCCACAACACCGGAUACUUGCAAUACCAUGCAGGCUUUUGCGCCUGAGGCCAUUAGAGAUAUUUGGGGCAGUAUCUUGAUUUCUCUAAACUUUUUUCCUUCCUUUAUGUCCUUACGUCUGGAAUUUACAUGAUUCAUUAUGGAUGCUAUUGUACAUAAUUUUGACAUUGAUUUUGAUUUUUCUUUCUUGUGAAAUUUUGAAUGAGCAAAGUUGACAUUCUGCUUUUAAUGCAUCCUAAUAAGAAGUCACAAAUUCUCUAAAUAUACUUUUAUUUGGAGGAUGCCUGUUCUAAAUGAAUUUAAAUAGCUAAAGAUAAAUACAGUUCCUAAAGUUUACUUUGGCUAAUAUAAAUGUUAGCACAAAAGAAUUUUAUGAAGUUUGGAAUUAUGAUAUGCUUUUAUUGUUUCAGUUGCAUUUCAAAAGAAUUUACAGUUCUUGGCCUAAAAAUGGUCUAACUAAAUAAUCCACUCUUCAUAUUUAUAAUAACUAUUAAUCUAUUUUAUUAAUCAUGGGCAAGCUUUUAAUAAUUACUUUUUCACAUAAAAUAACUCAUAAUCAUUAAUUAUUGCACCAUUUAAAAACUAUAGUUAAUAAUAUUGUAUUGUAUACUUGAAAUAUGCUAAGAGAGUUGAUCCUAAGUGUUUUGUGUCUCAUCAGGCACAAAAAAAUUGUAACUAUGUGAGGAGAUAUGUUAAUUAGCUUGAUUGUGGUAAUCAUUUCACAAUGUAUAUGUAUAUCAAAAUAUCAGGUUGUAUACCUUAAAUGUAUACAAUUUUUGCUUCUUAAUUAUACCUCAGUAAAGCUGGAAAAAUAUCUUACUAUUUUAUAUGUGACCAGUAGCAGAUCAACGUACAAAAUAUAAAACAAAAAAUAAAGCAUUUGUUCAAAAUAAUGCGGAAUGCUUAUCCUUACAGAAAGUGAAUAUUAAAAGAUAUUGCAGCAUGUUCAAAAGA